CCCAAGAAGUACAAUAAUGAUGACAUAAGUGAGCAUAG
Molecule: small RNA, 38 nt
Filed under: Plasmodium falciparum 3D7
Lineage: Eukaryota; Apicomplexa; Aconoidasida; Haemosporida; Plasmodiidae
Description: Pfa-starR6984
Source: RNAcentral